GCUUUUGCUGGCCGCUGGCUUCUUAGAGGGGACUAUCGGCUCUUACCUGUUGGAAGUUUGAGGCAUUACCAGGCUUGGGAUGCCCUUAAAGGUUCUGGGCCGAACGCGCCCUACACUGACUGAGCCACGAAGUUAUUAACCUUGGCCAAAAGGCUUGGGAAAUCUUGUGAAACUCUGUCCUGUUGGGAAUAAACCUUUGCAAUUAUUGUUCUUCACCAAGGAAUGCCAAGAAGGGCCAAUGCUUCACUUUGGGCUAAUUACGUCCCUGCCCUUUGUACACACCGCCCGUCGCUU
Molecule: ribosomal RNA, 294 nt
Filed under: uncultured fungus
Lineage: Eukaryota; Fungi
Description: partial 18S ribosomal RNA
Rfam family: Eukaryotic small subunit ribosomal RNA
Source: RNAcentral